Molecule: non-coding RNA, 237 nt
Filed under: Sporomusa malonica
Lineage: Bacteria; Bacillati; Bacillota; Negativicutes; Selenomonadales; Sporomusaceae
Description: T-box sequence
Rfam family: T-box leader
About the family: Uncharged tRNA acts as the effector for transcription antitermination of genes in the T-box leader family.
Source: RNAcentral
GUAAAAGUAAUGAUUGGGAUUAAAGCAUCAAUACAAGCGCUUCAGAGAGCCGGCGGUGGUGCAAGCCGGUGCGUGAUUGUUGCCGUUACCUCGCCCAUGAACUCUUUAGCUGACGUGUAUACAUAGUAAAGUAUACAUUAGGUUGAAGCGUUGCCCUGCGUUAACGGGAAGUUCGGUUGUUGUUGCCGGGCGCAAGGAGUAUAACGUAGGGUGGUACCGCGAAUUGUCGCCCCUACU